CCUACGGGUGGCUGCAGUGGGGAAUAUUGGGCAAUGGGCACAAGCCUGACCCAGCAAUGCCGCGUGAAGGAAGAAGGCUUUCGGGUUGUAAACUUCUUUUGUCAGGGAAGAGUAGAAGACGGUACCUGACGAAUAAGCCACGGCUAACUACGGGCCAGCAGCCGGGGUAAUACGGAGGUGGCAAGCGUUGUACGGAUUUACUGGGAGGAAAGGGCGUGCAGUCGGGUUGACAAGUCAGAUGUGAAAUCCUGCGGCUUAACCGGGGAACUGCAUUUGAGACUGGUGAUCUUGAGUACUGGAGAGGCAGGCAGAAUUCCUGGUGUAGCGGUGAAAUGCGUAGAUAUUAGGAGGAACACCGGUGGCGAAGGCGGUCUCCUGGAC
This 381-nucleotide ribosomal RNA is filed under the name uncultured bacterium. RNAcentral's name for it is "partial 16S ribosomal RNA". It matches the Rfam family "Bacterial small subunit ribosomal RNA", at positions 338 to 734 of the family's 1533-position model. The record is from RNAcentral.